CUUUGAGACUGGCUUACUUCAUUAAUAUAAUUUUUUCCAAGUUUCUUGAUCAUAGUUAAUGAUUCUAACUAACAGGAGAGGCCCCACCCUCCUGGUGUCACUUUGUUUUUCUUCUGACAAUUUGUCUCUCACAACUGCACUUACCAGGAUAUUUGCAUAUUGCUCCCUGGGGAGGAGCUUCUCUGCAAGUCCACCAUAAAAGCUCAGCUCUAAGCUUGCCUGGGCUGACAAGAACUGCUUACUCUCAGAAUGAGUUGCCCUGCUCAACUCCUGGGGCUGCUCAUGCUCUGGAUCCCAGGAUCCAAUGGGGUUGCUCUAUUGACCCAAACUCCACUCUCCCUGCCUGUCACCCUUGGAGAUCAGGCCUCCAUCUCCUGCAGGUCUAGUGAGAGCCUCCUGUACAGUAAUGGAAAAACAUAUUUGUGUUGGUUCGUGCAGAAGCCAGGCCAGUCUCCACAGCGACUGAUCUAUUGGGUUUCCAACCAAGAAAGCGGAGUCCCAGACAAAUUCAGUGGUAGUAGGUCAAUCACAGAUUUCACACUGACAAUCAGCAGAGUGAAAAACCAGAAUGGUAGACAUUUUGAUUCACAUGGCCUCCAAAGAGUAACCUUGCAACCCCACCCCCAUUCCAAUAACAGUCUUCAGAUUUGGGGAAUCUUCCUUGGAAGGGGAGCACUUAAGUUGGGACAUAUGGUCUCCUCUUCUUGACAGUUUCCAUGUCAGGUCCCUGAAGAGGAACUUGGGGAACUUUACAUAUGGUCAACAAAAUUCACUAUAUAUAGAAAUUGCUACUAAAACUUAGAAAAAAAGCCAACUAAAAAGAAAGCAAAUUGGGCUAGGAAUCAACAAUAAAGUGCAGGUUGGAGUUAACUAUUCACUGGUCAUUGGGCUUCACAUUUUUACCUUCUUUUAGCUUCUGAAGUACUAUUCUCCAUUACAUUUUUGUGC
This is a non-coding RNA of Dipodomys ordii (Ord's kangaroo rat), 948 nucleotides long. Lineage: Eukaryota; Metazoa; Chordata; Mammalia; Rodentia; Heteromyidae. The record is from the annotation of a RefSeq genome assembly.